UAAACGGCCCUUUUCAGGGCCACCAAUAUAUUUUAACGUAGCAAC
Trichomalopsis sarcophagae is the source of this 45-nucleotide regulatory RNA element. It matches the Rfam family "Histone 3' UTR stem-loop". From Rfam's summary of the family: The mRNAs of metazoan histone genes lack a poly-A tail. 3' end processing occurs at a site between a highly conserved stem-loop (modelled by this family) and a purine rich region around 20 nts downstream (the histone downstream element, or HDE). The stem-loop is bound by a 31 kDa stem-loop binding protein (SLBP - also termed the histone hairpin binding protein, or HBP). Lineage: Eukaryota; Metazoa; Arthropoda; Insecta; Hymenoptera; Pteromalidae. The record is from Rfam.